GAUUAACGCUGGCGGCGUGCCUAACACAUGCAAGUCGAACGAGGUAGCAAUACCUAGUGGCAGACGGGUGAGUAACGCGUGGUCAACCUACCGUUGAGUGGGGGAUAACUAGCCGAAAGGUUAGCUAAUACCGCAUACGUCUCCGAGUGGCAUCACUUGGCGAUAAAAGGAGCAAUCCGCUCGAUGACGGGACCGCGUCCCAUUAGCUAGAUGGUGGGGUAACGGCCUACCANGGCACCGAUGGGUAGCUGGUUUGAGAGAGCGACCAGCCACACUGGGACUGAGAAACGGCCCAGACUCCUACGGGAGGCAGCAGUGAGGAAUUUCCGCAAUGGGCGCAAGCCUGACGGAGCGACGCCGCGUGUGGGAAGAAGGCCUUC
RNAcentral lists this ribosomal RNA (380 nucleotides) under uncultured bacterium. Its description in RNAcentral is "bacterial SSU rRNA". It matches the Rfam family "Bacterial small subunit ribosomal RNA", at positions 28 to 419 of the family's 1533-position model. The record is from RNAcentral.